Molecule: small RNA, 110 nt
Filed under: Marmota monax (woodchuck)
Lineage: Eukaryota; Metazoa; Chordata; Mammalia; Rodentia; Sciuridae
Source: RNAcentral
GCUGGGCAUGGUGGUGCAUGCCUGUAAUCCCAGCAUCUCAGGAGGCUAAGAAGGCAGGAGGAUCGCAAAUUAAGGGCCAGCCUCAGUAACUUAGCAAGACCUUGUCUCAA